AUCAACUUUCGAUGGUAGGAUAGAGGCCUACCAUGGUGGUAACGGGUAACGGGGAAUUAGGGUUCGAUUCCGGAGAGGGAGCCUGAGAAACGGCUACCACAUCCAAGGAAGGCAGCAGGCGCGCAAAUUACUCAAUCCCGACACGGGGAGGUAGUGACAAUAAAUAACAACACAGGGCUCUUUUGGGUCUUGUUAUUGGAAUGAGUACGAUUUAAAUCUCCUAACGAGGAACAAUUGGAGGGCAAGUCUGGUGCCAGCAGCCGCGGUAAUUCCAGCUCCAAUAGCGUAUAUUAAAGUUGUUGCAGUUAAAAAGCUCGUAGUUGAAUUUCAGGCCUGGCUGGACGGUCCGCCCUUCGGGUGAGUACUGUCUGUGGUCGGGUCCUACCUUCUGGCGAAGCGUCAUGGCCUUAACCGGCCGUGGCGGGGAACCAGGACUUUUACUGUGAAAAAAUUAGAGUGUUCAAAGCAGGCAAUCGCUUGGAUACAUUAGCAUGGAAUAAUGGAAUAGGACAAUGGUUCUAUUUGUUGGUUUCUAGGACCGUUGUAAUGAUUAAUAGGGAUAGUUGGGGGCAUUAGUAUUCAAUUGUCAGAGGUGAAAUUCUUGGAUUUAUUGAAGACUAACUACUGCGAAAGCAUUUGCCAAGGAUGUUUUCAUUAAUCAAGAACGAAAGUUAGGGGAUCGAAGACGAUCAGAUACCGUCGUAGUCUUAACCAUAAACUAUGCCGACUAGGAAUCGGGCGAUGUUGAAAAAAUGACGCGCUCGGCACCUCAUGGGAAACCAAAGUGUUUGGGUUC
Molecule: ribosomal RNA, 796 nt
Filed under: uncultured Paraglomus
Lineage: Eukaryota; Fungi; Glomeromycota; Glomeromycetes; Paraglomerales; Paraglomeraceae
Description: SSU rRNA
Rfam family: Eukaryotic small subunit ribosomal RNA
Source: RNAcentral